CUUAGAUCAGCUUAGAAUAAUGGUAUUAAUAACAAAUAGUGUUAAUGAGUAAUUUUGGGAAGAUAUAUUAUUAUUAUUAUUAUUAUUAUUUAGCCAUUUUGUAGAUUUUUUUCCUGUAAUAUAUUGAAUAUUUAAUGUAUGUAAAAUAUGUCAUAUAAAAAAUAUGUAAUGUAAAAUUAUGUAAUAUAAUAUGUUUACAUUAAAUUGCUUUUCUAUUUAGUAUAAUUCAUUAAUAAACUCUAUGAGACAUUUCAUGUUUUUUUUAGUUCUAGAAGGUAAAUUGCCUUUUUUUGCCAUUUCAUUUUUUCUUUUGGCUGUUGAUUUGUUUAAUUAACUUGCAAUUUCUUUGUAGAUGUUUUUGUCCAGUCAUAACAUCCAGACCACCAGUGUACCAGCACUCGGGCCUAAAACCUCUUUCUGAGGGUUGGUUUCUCUCUUUGGUUAUCUAGCUGUAUGAGUUUUAACACUUUUCAUAAAGCUAGAUAACCGAAAGUAGAAAUAAUUCUCAAAAUCUGUUGAAAACAGCAAGAGAGCACCUACUUUUACCUCAGAGUCUUAUUUCCAUCCAAAAUAUGGCACAAUAAAGUAACAACAACAAGGGCACAGCCAUCAGAGAGAGAGCGAGAGAGAGAUGCUUGGAGGAACAUUGCUACAUCUUCCCUUCUCCGCCUACCCAGAAAGCCCCAGUGCCAUCUGUACCCCUGUGGGGUGCGGGAGAAUCCGUGCCAGUGCCAGCGGCGACAAAACCCUCAUCAGCGUCCUGGAGCCCCGGCACCAACACAGACGGCACAGGGAGGAAGGGAGGCCAUCUUGACGGAGAUCUUACACAAGAAGCUAAGAUGGCUGGGCUGGCACAUGAGAUGUGGACUGAACUCGGUGGAUUCACACUUUGUUGAAAAUGAGACGAAAAUUGACUAAAUAUUCAUCCAGAGAGAACAAUGGGAGCCUCAAGCACCUGAAAGUUUAAGAGGCACAUAAAAUCAUGUGUGUGUAUAUGAGAGCUAAAGUAUUUUGUGUUUAAUAUAAAAGAUUUGUACUGUACAGUAUUAUACAGUAUUUUCAUUAAGAUUAUAUUUGCAUUUUUUACAGUUGCCUAAAGAUAUUUUUCUUUCUUUCAUAGCUAUUAAAAUGAGAAAUAUUAUGUGCAUCUUAUAUACAUAUAGUUUUGUAUUUUUACAUGUAUGUAUUUCCUGUUUUUAUGUUUGUUUUUUUCUGAUUUUUUUAUUUUGAUUUAAUUUUAUUUAUAAAUAAAAAAUUAUACUGUAUAUUGUAUUAUACGGAUGAAUAAAACUGUGAUUCAAAAGUGAAUGAUAUGAAUCAGCUUUGUAUUUGCAUUUUAUUGACGUCAGAUUGUGUCACACCUGGCAAGCCACUGAAGAGUUAAUUACUGUGAGUUAAUUAGCUUAAUUUGUAGGCUACAUAUAAAACACUUGUAGCCUAUAUUUUUUAGAAUGAUGUUCAUCCCGAAGGUCAGAUUUCAACGUGCAUCGUUAUGAAAGGUCUGUGUUUUAGUUACAAGGUUCUAAAUAAAAUAUUUUAAUAAGAACCCUUGAAAUAUAAUAAAUGACUUUAGCACGAUUAAUUUCCAAUCCAAUUUUGUUUUAAAAAUUUAAAAUAGAAACACACAUCCUGCAAAAGUGAUGUAAUUUUUCGUGAAAACGCCAGUGUUAUAAUUUACUAUGAAUUGAAAUGGCUGUAAUUAGAUAUAUGUAUUGUUUUUGUUUUAUUUUUAUUAUAAAACCACACACACACACACACACACACACACACACACACACACGCGUAUAAUAGGGCUUGGGCGUCGUGACGUCAUUACUUGGCGUGGCCGCCAUGCUGAUGGCCUCCUUUACUGCUACUCGGACUACUGCGCAGUGUUUAGACAUACUCCCUCUCAGCCGUGUGUCUUAAUUUGAUUAAUUAAAAAUCUAUUUCAACCAUGGUAAACCGUUGCUGUAUUGUGGGGUGUAAUAGCGCAACACAUAAUCGCCCUUUGAAAAAAAAUGGAUUAACUUGCCACUGCUUUCCUGCUUGGAGGCGCGACCACGGAGACCAAGUGAGGUAUAAUAUCUGAAUAUUAAUUUAUAUAGCUUAAGUAAACACUGAAAAUAAGGGAAAUUUCCUGGGCUACUCAUCCAAAAAACCGGAAAAUUUCUACAUUCAUCUUUCUGUUGCUGUCCCUCUGCUGACAGCAAAAAUUCGUACUACAAAACUGCUGCAUUAACUAAGCGAGAUUGUGAAGCUAUGUCUAACGUGACUUUGCUUACAUUGGUGUGAAAUCCUGCUCUCACAACAACCACGCUGUUAUCUUAACAAAGGCCAAUAUCACGCUAAGGUUGCUUUCAAGUAACGUUAAGCAAAACGAUGGUUUAAAAAUAUCUGUUUUGCUGGAAGGGCAACUGUGUAGCAACAGGACAACAGUCCGAUGGAAGGGCUAACGGGAUAUUUUACAGGAAAAUACUACAACGGGAAAAGAGCUCAAAUACACGAGAACCCCGGAAAAAAACGGGAGCGUUGACAGCUACUAACUAAACUUUUGAAACACAUAAGUUAGUUAAAAGUACAUGUGAAUGGUUGUUAGCACUAACGGUAACUAAACUAGCAACUAGGCGGAGUGCAGUUUACCUUUGUCUGGAUUACUGUAUACUGUUUGCCGGCUUUAUGAUCUGCAGCUCCCUAACCCAUCCAUUUGUGAACUGCACAUGAGACUCCAAUGACUUGUAGCUUCGGAACUGUUCUGAAGUGUAGGCGCUCACAAAACAAACAAGGUAGCCGAAGAUAUCUGUAAUGCAAAAGUGCGGCAGCAACUCGUCGUCGGUGCUCCACUCUUUGUUGGGAUUUUCAUAUUGAUCCAAACCGUUAAUAGUGCCGAUUUUGUCCACAUACCGAUCCCUGGCAUCCCUACUUAGCGUAUCCCUGUAAAUCCCACAACCUUUUCGCGAUUUUAACAUAUUUUUUCUUUCUCCCAACUCUGUUUCUUCUCGUUCGACUUGCUGUAUGUUUACAUUCACGACGCCAUCAACAUGGCCGCCACGUCCCAGAAUGCAACGCGGCGCCCAAGCCCUAUUCUCGUUCAGGCUAUAGCCUAUCAAUUUCUCUAAUUCCUCGUGGGUUCAUGCAAAUGACUGAGAAUUUCUCUAUCAGUGACCUCUGUGCCAGCUAGCAGUAAGUGUUAAUUAGCCAAUGAAUAGAGGAGAUGUGAAGACCACGCGAAUUCACUAAUCCUACUAUGGCGAAGGAUUUCCAAUUCAUAUUCAUAAACGAAGCUUUCGACAUUUGGAAGGAUACCGAGCAACGUCAGCACGACCCACUUAGUAUUCAAGACACAAACGCUCCUCAUUGGAAGGUUACGAAUUAACGUCAGCGAAAUCAAAUAAAUAUUCAAGACAAGCUUGCACCAUUGGAAGCUGUAGCAAGAGACGUCGAAGGGCCUACUUAAUAUUCAAGAGCUAAGCUUUUGCCAUGGUAGGAUUCAUAAAUUCUCGUCAAGGAAAGGAUUUUCGUAAGAGACACUAUAAAAUAAGAUGUGUAUAUGUGUGUACAGCUGUGGAAAUGAAGAAGAAGAAAAGAUCUGCAUUAUUAAGUAGCCUACCUUUACAUAUAAGGAGCACAAACGCUUUUAAAAUAUGUUACUAAUUAUGUUAUUUAAAAGAAAUGUAGCUUCUGUGUCCCUCAGUAUCCUUCGUUGACAAAAUAGACCAAACGUAAAUUAGAUUCACGUUGAUUAACAAUAUUUCAGAUUAUUAAAAUGAUGGAAGAUUAUAGACUGUAUAAGAACUAUCACACUUUUCAAACACCAUAGACAAAUGUGAUCUUG
Cyprinus carpio carpio is the source of this 3814-nucleotide long non-coding RNA. NCBI's taxonomy places the organism in Eukaryota, Metazoa, Chordata, Actinopteri, Cypriniformes, Cyprinidae. The record is from Ensembl.